CACGUAGGGGGCAAGCGUUGUUCGGAAUUACUGGGCGUAAAGGGCUCGUAGGCGGCCAACUAAGUCCGACGUGAAAUCCCAAGGCUUAACCUUGGAACUGCGUCGGAUACUGGAUGGCUUGAAUUCGGGAGAGGGAUGCAGAAUUCCAGGUGUAGCGGUGAAAUGCGUAGAUAUCUGGAGGAAUACCGGUGGCGAAGGCGGCAUCCUGGACCGACAUUGACGCUGAGGAGCGAAAGCUAGGGGAGCAAACGGG
Molecule: ribosomal RNA, 253 nt
Filed under: uncultured bacterium
Lineage: Bacteria
Description: partial 16S ribosomal RNA
Rfam family: Bacterial small subunit ribosomal RNA
Source: RNAcentral